Molecule: long non-coding RNA, 2976 nt
Filed under: Sus scrofa (pig)
Lineage: Eukaryota; Metazoa; Chordata; Mammalia; Artiodactyla; Suidae
Description: lncRNA (ENSSSCG00015002514.1)
Source: RNAcentral
GACAGCCGCCACGGGGUCACCGCGAUCGUCCCAUUAAACCUCCACUCUGCAAACUACCUGCCGGCCUCUCCGCCCGCCUCUCGUCCUUUGCCUCCACCAGCUGCCCCAGGUCGGGGUCUGGAGCUGGGCACAGCCCUGUCCUCCCACACAGGCCCCUGGCCAGACGCGGAAGAUGCUGGACAGGGCUGAGGGCCCCUCCUAACCACCUCAGCUCUGCCCUCCGGGGCCCCCGGGGGUCUGAGCACCAGCUGCAGGCUGCCCUGCCCUCCCCCAGCCCCUCAAAUGCCAAGGCAAAGGAGGCCUCUUGUCACCAGCCUUGCCGUGGGCCUUUCUCAGCGACGUGUCCUGUCCCAAACGAGUAAGGGAAGGGCUGAUCCCGGAGGAUGGAGGUUGGGGGCACCGGGCAUCUGCUGGCACAGGUGCAGGAGAGGCUGCAGGUACAGGUGGGGCUCAGACGAGGGACGAGGCCAGGGACUCCCCUUGGGGCACCAGUGCGAAGGAGGGCUGAGCCGUGGGUGCUGGGGGUGAGCCUGACAGGGCAGCCGGCCUUUCCUGUGGGUCUGUGCGUUGGCACUGCAGGACGCCCACCACGACUGCGCGCUCUGGCCCCGGAGCAACACGUCGCCUAACCCCCUGAGCAGACAGAGCCCCACGCUACACCAGGGGCUAGGAUGUGGGCGGACCAGCCCCCAGGUCACCACAUAGCCGGCUACCUCUCUCUGCUGCCCUGGAGAUCCCAUCCCGGCCAGGAGAUGAGCCAGGCCCUGCCCAGUCGUGGUCCAGGAUUGAGGGGGGCGGGGGGGUCUCCACCAAUGAGCGAGGGCCUGUGUUGUGCCUGCACCGGGACCGGCUGGGGCUCCGUUCCACCCGGAGACUUAGGAGCUGACAGGCCAGUCACCCACCCUGCAGAAAACAGGAUUGGCCAAGCGGCAACAUCCCUGCCAAAGGAGAAUCACGGAGGUGCCCAGUGGCAGAGCCAGAGGCCUGCCAGGGACCCCGUCCUAGGAGUGGGUUCCCCAGCCCUGGGUUCCCCAUGGCCCUUGGCCCUGCCCCUGGAAAGGCCUAGCCUCUUCCUGGCCACACCUGAACAUGGCGCUGGCCAAGCCCUCCUGGCAGGCGGAACUGUUGCUCAGCCACCUCCCUGCCAAGGCCGCCUUGGUCCCAGGUCCCUGGUUUCUUUGGCGGCUCAACUCUCAGAACCCCGUGGUCCCCAGGGUCCCCGAUUCCAGAACCCCUGUGCCUGCGGGACACACAGCUCAGAUGUGCUUCGCUCCACGCUGCCUGCCUCGCCCGACAGUGUAAAGCUCAGAAGAGAGCCCAGCGCUGUGAGCGGGGUGCCACCCGACCCCGCUGCCUUGUCCUUGUCACUGUCCAAGCUGGUCCUGACCUGCCUGGGAGCCCCUGGGCCCCAGCCCACAAACCCGGGAGGUUUUCGUAGCCUCUCUCUUCCUCGUGGUGUCUUGCCAAACACAGCCUGUGACCAACACACGGCUGCCAGCAUUUCCCAACCUCUCCCGCCAGACCUGCCAGUUAUUUUUGGAUGCCGCUUGUCUCGUGAGUCACCACAGUUGAAAUCUGCCAGAUGUGUCACCACUGCGCACACAGCCCGCCACGCUGCAGCCUCGGGGCAUGGGCCCUCCCAGCCCCGGGCGGUCCUGGGUCCUGGGUCCCAUGUCCCGGCAAGGCCCCACACCUCUGCUGGGGCUGCCUGUGCUCCAGCAACAAGUGACCCCACGAGACGAACGUCUUCAACAGCAAAAGUUUAUUUCUCUGCCAUGCACGUGCCCGUCAGGCCAGGUGGGGCGGUGCGCUUCCCGUCACGGGUUCCUCAGGGGGCUGUGUUCCGCACCAGAUGGAGGCAGGCUGGGCAGGGCUCGCAGCAGCAAUCGGUUGUGCCGGGGUCACACGCCACAUCCACUCACAGCGCUCACACCUGCCCCAUGCACGGAGGUGGGGGUUUCAGCAAAGGACAGUAGGGACCCCCAUAAGGGCUGAGGGCACAACGCUGGGAGGCAGCUGCACUCUGGGGACAGAGAAGGGCACGGUCAGGCAGCAGAGUGGUCAAGGGGGUCGUGUCCAGAACGGGGACAGGUGGCUGUGAACAUCAGGCCAGCUGGGGCCACGGAAGGCGGGCCCGUGAGGCGGGGCCCUGGGGGAGCCUCUCUGGAGUCCAGGCGUCUGAGUCCCUCGGGCCGGGUCCUAUGUGGUCCAGACUCUCCCGUCCCCCACUCUUGCUGGGACUUACUGGGCCACAUGCCGCGGGUGGAACUUCAGAUCUAAAGACCAAGCCCGGGACAGCGCCCAGCAGGCGGGAGGGCCGCACGCACGCCAGCCCAAGCCGAGGCCCGGGAGCGGGGCCAGGGCCCCGAGGACCACAGCCACAGGCAGCCUGGCCGCCCAGCGGGGCUGAGAUAUAGCGUGAGACAGCCGCAGGCACUUGGGAGUUGACUGGCGGCCAGAGAGCUUGGGUUUUUUAAGGGGACGCUUUUAAAAUUUUGGAUUUCAUUAAGGAAACAGCACAGUCGCUGUGAAGACAAGACUCAGGGGCUGGAAAACCGACAAAGCCUGCUCCCAGUCAGCAAAGGGAAGGGGAUGGGGCGCAUGCAGGGGAGCAGGGGGCAGAGUUCACCCGAGACCUGGGGCCGUGGAGCUGCACAAAGAAGCUCAAAUCCACCAUCCACCCAGGCAUCCUCGCCCCCCACGGCUGCGACCCGGCCUCCCACUCUGAGCCUCUGCACGCGCCCGCCAGGCCUCCCUGGCCAGGCUGAGCCACCUGCAGCCGCCACCACCAAGGUGUGCUCCUAAAACGGCUGUCCUUUCCCGAAGAGGAAGCGGAGGUCAGCUGUUAAGGGUUUUUCUUCACUUUCUAAAUAGUUACCGGCCAGACCCUGGGAGGAAGAAGCCCAAGAGCAGAGGAAGGGCGCCUAGAGGCAGGGCCUGGCAGGGCCUGGCAGGGCAGGGGGCGGGCGCUAAGGA